CAUUUUAAUAUUUUAUGAUGUAUUUAAAAGAGUAGUUAUUGUUGCAAACUCCAUUAGAAAUUUGAAUUGAUAUCAGUUUUGGAAAAAGGGAAACGGGGAUGUGAAAAAAAAGGGGGGGGUUUAAAUUUUUCUCAUUUCAGAUUUCAUAAAUAAAAAGAAAAUUUCUUCAAACAUUUUUUUGAGAGGAUUAAUAUUCAACAGCAUAGUGAAUUGCUCAAAGGCAAAAAAAAACUUUUAAGUUCAUUAGACCACAUUCGUUCUGUGUCAGAAACCUAUGCUGUGUCAUGAUCAACUAUUUAAUUUUAGAUUUAAAAAGUUUGAAGAAGAAAUCUUUAAUUGAUUUGUAAAAUCUUGACAUUUGUUUUGUGUAAAAAAAAACCCAUGUAAUGUCAAAAAUUUGAUCACAAUCCAAAUUCAGAGCUGUAUCACGCUUGAAUGUUUUGUCCAUACUUGCCCCAAC
This 460-nucleotide long non-coding RNA is filed under the name Mytilus galloprovincialis (Mediterranean mussel). The record is from RNAcentral. Lineage: Eukaryota; Metazoa; Mollusca; Bivalvia; Mytilida; Mytilidae.